AGUGAACGCUGGCGGUAGGCCUAACACAUGCAAGUCGAACGGCAGCACAGUAAGAGCUUGCUCUUACGGGUGGCGAGUGGCGGACGGGUGAGGAAUACAUCGGAAUCUACUUUUUCGUGGGGGAUAACGUAGGGAAACUUACGCUAAUACCGCAUACGACCUACGGGUGAAAGCAGGGGAUCUUCGGACCUUGCGCGAUUGAAUGAGCCGAUGUCGGAUUAGCUAGUUGGCGGGGUAAAGGCCCACCAAGGCGACGAUCCGUAGCUGGUCUGAGAGGAUGGUCAGCCACACUGGAACUGAGACACGGUCCAGACUCCUACGGGAGGCAGCAGUGGGGAAUAUUGGACAAUGGGCGCAAGCCUGAUCCAGCCAUACCGCGUGGGUGAAGAAGGCCUUCGGGUUGUAAAGCCCUUUUGUUGGGAAAGAAAAGCAGCAGGUUAAUACCCCGCUGUUCUGACGGUACCAAAAGAAUAAGCACCGGCUAACUUCGUG
Molecule: ribosomal RNA, 492 nt
Filed under: uncultured bacterium
Lineage: Bacteria
Description: partial 16S ribosomal RNA
Rfam family: Bacterial small subunit ribosomal RNA
Source: RNAcentral